RNAcentral lists this ribosomal RNA (243 nucleotides) under Limtongella incommunis. RNAcentral's name for it is "[Candida] incommunis partial small subunit ribosomal RNA". It matches the Rfam family "Eukaryotic small subunit ribosomal RNA", at positions 585 to 972 of the family's 1831-position model. RNAcentral also lists the same sequence under 1 other name. Lineage: Eukaryota; Fungi; Ascomycota; Dipodascomycetes; Dipodascales; Trichomonascaceae. The record is from RNAcentral.
CCAGCUCGGCGAGCGUAUAUUAAAGUUGUUGCAGUUAAAAAGCUCGUAGUUGGUCACAAUUACUUUGAACAAAUUAGAGUGCUUCAGAUCAUAGUUGAGCAUGGAAUAAUGAAAGACGACAUUGGCCACAAUGUAAUGAUCAAUAGGGACGGUCGGGGGCACUGGUAUUUGGUAGUCAGAGGUGAAAUUCUUGGAUUUACUAACGACCAACUGCUGCGAAAGCAUUUGCCAAGGACGUUUUCA